RNAcentral lists this long non-coding RNA (530 nucleotides) under Homo sapiens (human). Its description in RNAcentral is "HSALNT0357057". The record is from RNAcentral. Lineage: Eukaryota; Metazoa; Chordata; Mammalia; Primates; Hominidae.
ACCACGUGGAGAGGAGGCUCUCGGAGAUCGGCUGACGGCGUAGGGAGAAGGCUCUCUGGUCGGCUGACCGCCUGGAGAGGAGGCUGUGGGAGGUUGGCUGAUCCCCUGGGGAGGAGGCUCUGGCAGGUCGGCCGACCAUGUUGGGAGGAGGCUCUUGGAGUUACACGUUGUCUUCAGAAAAAGAGAUUCCCCAGAGCCCCACACAGUGCCUGGCAAAUGUAGCAUGACACAAUUCCUUCAAGACUUCCCAGCCUGCAGGAGGGAGUCGCUGGCUAAACCUGGAUACAGGCCGGGAUGCUACAACUUGCUGGUUGCUCAACUCUAGAUGGUCAACUGUCCGUUCCCAGAGCUUUGGUUUCCUCAUGCUGGCAGAUCAUCACUGAUGUCCAUUCCUUCCAGGUGUUUAGUUCGUAGGCCAGUCCUGAGUUGUUGAGUGAGAAAGUAGGAAGAGUACGCAGUGAUAACAUGAGGAGCAGAACAGAAGACUCUUUUGUGUGACCUGGAACCAAAGGUCAUCAUGCUGGGGCAGA